RNAcentral lists this ribosomal RNA (465 nucleotides) under uncultured bacterium. RNAcentral describes it as "partial 16S ribosomal RNA". It matches the Rfam family "Bacterial small subunit ribosomal RNA", at positions 338 to 795 of the family's 1533-position model. The record is from RNAcentral.
CCUACGGGAGGCAGCAGUAGGGAAUCUUCCACAAUGGGCGAAAGCCUGAUGGAGCAACGCCGCGUGGGUGAAGAAGGUCUUCGGAUCGUAAAACCCUGUUGUUAGAGAAGAAAAUGCGUGAGAGUAACUGUUCACGUUUCGACGGUAUCUAACCAGAAAGCCACGGCUAACUACGUGCCAGCAGCCGCGGUAAUACGUAGGUGGCAAGCGUUAUCCGGAAUUAUUGGGCGUAAAGGGUACGCAGGCGGUCUGUUAAGUCUGAUGUGAAAGCCUUGGGCUUAACCGGAGUAGUGCAUUGGAUACUAGGAAACUUGAGUGCAGAAGAGGAGAGUGGAACGCCAUGUGUAGCGGUGAAAUGCGUAGAUAUAUGGAAGAACACCAGUGGCGAAAGCGGCUCUCUGGGCUGUAACUGACGCUGAGGUUCGAAAGCGUGGGUAGCAAACAGGAUUAGAUACCCGAGUAGUC